Molecule: ribosomal RNA, 253 nt
Filed under: uncultured bacterium
Lineage: Bacteria
Description: partial 16S ribosomal RNA
Rfam family: Bacterial small subunit ribosomal RNA
Source: RNAcentral
UACGGAGGAGGCAAGCGUUAUCCGGAAUUAUUGGGCGUAAAGCGUUCGUAGGUGGUUUAGUAAGUCUGCUGUUAAAGCGCGGGGCUUAACUCCGUAUCGGCAGUGGAAACUACUAGACUAGAGUGUGGUAGGGGUAGAGGGAAUUCCCAGUGUAGCGGUGAAAUGCGUAGAUAUUGGGAAGAACACCGGUGGCGAAGGCGCUCUACUGGGCCGAUACUGACGCUGAGGAGCGAAAGCGUGGGGAGCGAACAGG